GUGAUUUCCAAGCAGUGAGCAUGGGAAUGGAGCUGACAGCAAGACGAGAGGCAGAUGGACAAACCAACAAGGACGAAGUAAGGACUACGUCAUGGAACUGCUGCCAGCUUUUGGAAUGAACUUUGUGCCAAACUCUGCGUUGUUGCUGAUUUUCACAUGAUGGAUGUGGAAACACCUGGUUUUAUCAGAGCUGGCUUUGCUGAAGAUGCCUUGCAGGACUGUAGAAAGGGAAGCCCAGCUCUCCUCCAGCUCAACUCUGUCGCAUCUGAUACAGCUGAAACUAUACUAAAGGAAGGACAUGUCCAACUCCCUCUCCUGGGAGCAGGCUGAUGAGUGACAGUGUCAUGAAAUGGUUGCUGGCUGACCUCUUGGCUUGUGAGCACUGUGGCUCUGGACAGAUGGAUAUCACAUCUUGACUGCUCCUGAGAUGUCCCAAAGUCUUCAGCUUUUGCUUUCUCCCUCAGUUCAAAAGCCCCCUGAGCCCAGGGCUGCGUGCUACACUGAAACGUUCAAUCCUGCAUUUGAAUAAGCUGAAUCAAGCCAGCCAUACUGCUAAACAUAUGCAUGGAGACUUCCUACAUAAAUGAACGUUGCCCUGAAGCACUUGUAGUCCAGUUGUUACUGCUUUGUGCUGAUAGUGAAAGACCCCAAAGAGAAUGGAGUAUAAGCCCUGUCCGUCGUGCGGGAGCCCAGCAGAUGGAGCAGUGUUCCUGUGCAUGAGGAGCUGUGGGGCCGCAUCCGGAGCUGCGCUGUGCAGUCGAGCCGAUCUGCCCCAGUGCAUCUAUGAAGCACGGAAUAAAAGGCUCACUUGAUGGAACUGAGCUCUGCUGCUGUGCAAGCACAGCCCGGCCAGGUUGUGUGCUCUGCCUGCCCUUAACCACCUGCCGUGAAUCUCAGCUGAUGCACUCAGUGACUGCUAUCGCUGGCUGUGAAAGAACUCCUGUUCUGGGCUCAGUAUAUAGAAGCAAACCCCAACAGCACACAGAGGCAACAUUCCUGUAUGACACCCCCAUCAUCAAGCCCAGAUGCUCUGGUGGAGUGCAGAUGUCCCACAGAGGUCCAAUCUAAUGCACUGAAGUGACAGAGAAUCUGCUGCAUCCUCAGCAAUGAUAAAUAGCAGAUACAUGAGCUGCCUGGCAGAGGAGCAGACAACUCUCCUGGGACUGACUGCAUUGUCAGUGUUCCUUGAUGGGUCACUGGGGUUUGGGUUCUGGUUAACAUCCCGCCCUCUUCAAGCAUCUCCUCUGGCUGCAGAGCCACUCCCUCGACCUUCUCAGUUACCGCUGUCAUCUCUGGGGUCUUUAAUUGUGCCUGAUGGGGUAUCAGCUUCAAUGCUAAUGUGCAUGGGUAAGAGGAUGAGGAAAGCUACUUUGCGAGGAUUCUCCUUUUGCUGCUCUGCAACGAAACAGAGCAGAAAGAAGCAAUCUGAGUCCGGCCAAGGUUUUCCUUAAAUACCAACCUUGCUAUGUGGGAGGCUCUGAAUCAAUUGUAUUGUUUUGCUUUGGGGAAAGACUUGAACCUCAUACUUCACAUGGACACAAGUAACCGCAUGCUUUUUAGCAAAUCACUGAAAUGAAGAGAAUCUUGUGGAAACACUGAAAGGUUAAGUAAAAACCCUGAGCACAUGUGCUCUAGUGCUUUGCUAAAAUACACGCUACAAGGGCAAGUUUCCAACUGUAAAAAACAAACAAAAAAAGACAAAAAAAAAAAGUAGAAAAGGUAUCCUGAGCAAUUUCCUUUUUAAAGGAUAACAGACAAAAAUCAACCACAAGCAGAAUGAUGGCUGUACAGAAAAUACAUUUGCUGUUCAGAGAAAUACACAGAUUGUACUCUGAAGAGCUGAAAUCUUGAUGGACUUCCAGUUUGGCUCCAUCUAAGAUAAAAUUCUUGGAAAGAGAGUACAUUACAAAGGAGAUACUUGAAGGAAGGGUUAGAAGUCCUGCCAAAGACUUGGAGAACUGCUAUUUGCAGUCUGAUAUGAAUCCAGGCAAGAACCCACGAAUGCGUUUGGCUGCAAUUUCACUUCGUUUUUAAGUAGAAAAAGUUGCCCGUUAUCCUUCCAGGUAGCAGAUAAUGUCACAGUUAUACACCUGGAAAGAUGAGGUAAGAGGGAUGGGGGGGGGGGGAGGGGGGGGAGUUCUAAAAGCAUUUCCUAGUGAGAACUGUCUACAGGAGAAAGAUGUUUUGCACAGUGUCCUGGGUAAGAAAUGGCAAUGUCAUCACCUGUGGUAAUGCUGAAGGAAACGUUAUACUGUGUGCACAGCUUGCCAUGCAACAUUACUCAUUUGGAAAAAGGCUAUUUUUAAUCAAGAAAAAGCACUUUAAUCAAGGAUAGAGUCAGUGAUUCAAAAAUUUCAUGCAGGUGCAUGUAUUACUUGACUGAAAGCAUUUUCCCCAAAGGUCAGAGCUGCAGGGAGAUGUGCAUGUCCCAUUCCAGCAGUGGAGAUAACCUCAGGGUGCCAAUAUCAGCCUGAUGUAUUCUGGCUCUUGGCUCAGGGAGCCUCAAAGUCAGAACUUCCCAUGCUAAUCCUCUUAACUUUAAACAAAUAUUUGCCAUAGCCUAGGCACACUCAGUAAGAUUCAUGGCAUGCCAAAAAAGACACAUUUGUGUUAGGGAGGUUGAUUCAGUUUUUCUUUGUAUUUUUCCACCCGCGCAAAAGAAAUCAGCUGCAGGUCGUACAGCAUACGCAGAGCUGGUUCAGCAAACAGCAGGGACACAAGCAUGCCCCCAACUCCUGGGGAGCCCUUCCCUCCUUCUCACAUCUCUGGGAGCUGCAGGAAGAGCUCACAAUGGCCAGAACAGAGAACAGAUUUCUGCUUGGCAGGUGAAUGAGCGUAACCCAGCAGCUCCAAUUGAGCAAACCUCCCCGCCUCUCCUCCCCACUCCCCAGCCCCACAACUCUCUGAAAUUAAAAAACAACACUCAAUCAGCGUUUCCUGGAGUAGCUUGUACUCUGAGUCACUCUCUCCACUGACUUUAAGAUUUUAAGAUUUCAAAUGUCAGAACUGACACAUGCUGCAGGCUGGAGGCAAACCCCUGCGGUUCCAAAGCCUGCUUGUGUAGCACUCAGGAGCACUCAGGGACCCCUUGCCUGCCAGCAGACCUCCCUAGAACAGGGCUGUCUGCCUUCUCCUGGAUGCAGCUCCAUCCCCAGGACACCCUUUUCCUCCCAGGCACCCCUCUGAUGCUGCUUUAGCUUUCAGCCUGGCACACACAAGGCUACCUUGCCUCCAAGAUUGCCUCCCCGGGAUUUAAGUGGCCAAUACCAUCCAGUAAGUAGGCACUAAAAUAGGUUGAGGAAUAAAUUGCUCUCAUUUAACAUUCACUCUGAAAAAUAUGGCUGCAUUUAUUAUGCAGUAUAUUGUUUUAUAUACUGUUUUGUUAUAAUAAGUCAUGUUUAAAAUGUCAUGACAUUUAAAUCAACAGCAAUAAGAGGGAAAUACUGAAAAAGAACAAGAUCAAAAAGGAUUUGAAAAAAUCCGAGCAAAAUCUUAUGGACCAAACUCCAUGGUUAAAAUAAAGUGUUUGUUCCCAGGUGUGGUGGGCAGAGAGGUGCCACCACCAUUGGGGUGGUUGUGGUUGGCUACGGCCAAGGGGCUCGGGCACUUGAGGCAAUGCCACCACAGUGCUCUGUGUCCCCCUCGUGGUUUUGGUUUGUCUGGGCUGUCCUUUGCCAUCGAGCCACCACAAUACCCUGAGUAAGUCCUUAGAACUGGAUAAUGCCAUUUGUCUCAGUGAGGAGAGUUAUUUCAAUGCCUGUGCUAAGUUAUAUGAAUGAACUUUAUAUAAUAUAGUAUAAAAGCUUACUUUAAUGUGGCUUCAUAGCCUUUGAGGAAACACAGAGCCUGUCAACCACCGGUGAUUUACAUGCAUAAUGGCAGAUUUUCACUACAAAGACUUUGAUGUUAAAAAAAAAAAUAACUUGGAUCAGAGGAGCUACUGUGUUACUGCAGAUUUUGUGCUCAUCUUUCUAUCAGGUCUGAACCCGUAUGGAGCAUCCCUUGCUGCUGCCUCGGUGCAUCCUCAUCCCCUGCCAAGGGGAACAACAACAACAACAACUGCAACAACAAAACAGAUGGUGAUGCAGUGAAACAUUAAACCCAGUCCCAAUACCUGAGCCAUACCAUGAAUAUUUCACUGAGGCAGAGGGUAGAAAAGACAACAAAAUGAUCUUUUCUAGCAUCUUAAGGGAUGUCUAACCUUGUAAUUGCUAUAGACACAGAGGACACACAAGAUGGAGACCAAGACUACUUAAAAGCUGUGUGUAUUUUCUAAAAAUUAGUAACUCAAUGUUCCCACUACAACCUGCCAAUAUGAAUGACAUUCACUCUUGCUCUGAGGAAUGAAAGAAACUCUGAGAGACAGACUGCAUUAAGAAUCUAUUGAUAUUCCACUGACCUAGUGCCACACGAACCAGACAAGUUUUGUCAAGGGCAAAUGCCCCAGAGUCUGAAAAUUCAUUUCUUAAAGUGGCAGCAAAGGAAAAAAGAAAUAUAUACGUAUCCUUUACUGUCUAGAAUACUUAUAAAAUCAAGUGUAGGCUUGCAUUGUCCUGAUACUACAACAGCAGUAUAUGACACUAGACCCAGAUACAUGAACAGAACUGAAGAUAUCAGAUGGUCAAUAACCUCUUCCAGUUUUCCAAGCAAGUUAGUACUGCCAUAAAGCUUAAAUGGGAUGUUCCCUUAAGAAGUAUCACAUGGGUUUUAACCUAGUUUAUUUCAUCUUACUACACGAGCUUCACAAACCUAAGUUAUCCAUAGUCAAAGACUUUCCUUUGCAAGGGAUGGAUGCAGAAGGCAUGAGCUGUGCAGGAGGUUCCCAUGGCACCUUGUACUGAUGGGGCACCCAGAACAAAUGAACUGAAAGGAGAGUGAGAAACGACUCAGUACUGUCCAGGCAGGCUUCUUCAUCCCCCAAGAUAAACCUCUGAACUCAUACACUAAAUCAAAUGAGAACAAAAUGUCACAGGCAAGGGACGCAACACAGAAGCAACACAAGAACCCCUAGUUGUUUGGUUUUUUUCUUAGUGAAGCUGAGCCUAGGAUAGCAGUGGCUUUUUCAAGGGGUGGAGGAGCACAGGCUGCCUUUAUUCGAGGAGGAGGAAUAUAUUUGCUCCUCUUUCAAGCUGCAAUGCUGGCCCUUCUGUUCAAAUUCUUUUUUCUGGGGGGGGGGAAGACCACAGCUAUACCCACGUGAGCCCCAUGCUGAAGAGUGGGGAUGGCAUUAUAGCCUGGGAAUAUAAAAUGCUGUAAUAGAUUUCAGUGAACGGGCUGAAUUUGGGGAAAAUUAAUUUUAGCUGGAUACAUUGUGCAGUUAAUUAAGGCUGAUAGCUUCCACUAGAAGAAAAGAGUUUUUGAUGAAAAUACAUUGAAAAAUCUUAUUAAACUGCCUAGUAAAAAAUCAGUUGCCACAGCCUGUGCUGCAUCUUCCCAGACACCUCCAUGUUUCUAUACAGAAAUCCUGUACUGAUACCAUUUGCAUAACAAUAUUUAAUAUGCAGAUUUGAGUAUCAUUGCUUUUGGACAGAAUUAAUGUUCCAACCUUUGAGCACACCCAUUUUAGAAAUACUCAUCUUGAAAACUCGCUGGAACUUAUAUGCAGCACUGGUGUGAGCGCUGCUCCUGGGAGCCUCAUGGGUGAGGUGGUCACGUAAACAUGGAAGGGUAGAAGGCAGAGAGGACGUGAAGAUGGGAAAAGCAACCAAAAUACUCCCACUUUUCAGAGAUGAAGUAACUUUUUGUUUUCAGUUCAUUUUGUUCACGCCUUAGGAAAUGAUGAGAUCAACUGAAAGGAAAGCAAUUUCCAGCCGAAAUGAACAUAGCUCGUGGCUCAACUGAGAAGAGGUGCAUAUUUUUCCAAAAGCUCCAUUCCAAUACGUGCAGAUCAAAUACCCUGAGAACAGACCUAGCAUGAGCUUGCAUCAUGUCAGUUUGCCAGUCUGGGAAUUUGCAGGUUUUCUACUUGUUCCUGAGGAAGCCAAUUGGGAAAACAGGUUGUACUGCCACAUCACAUGGUGGAAUUGCAAAAUCAUUUUAUUCAUUUAGAUAUAAUUCAAAGUCAGGCCAGGGUAUCUUGGUAGCAGAACUACUACAGAAGGCCUACCACUCCAUUCUUCUCUCCCAUAAGCCUUUCCCUUUUUUAGCGAGCCUUACAUCUAAACUCCCAGGAGGCAUAUUCUGUGUUCCCAGGGCUUAUCCUGUGCGUGUACUGAUGUGUACAAAGGUGCCCAAGCUUUCCUCAUUCACACCCGUAAGCAUUAUUAUAUUACAUUUAAUUGCAGAAGACAUUGUCUUAACAGCUUUAUUUCUUAUAUGACAUCUCGUGAAUUGCCUUUAAGAAAAGCCAUUUACAAGACUUCUAUAUAUAUGUAAACUAGUAUUCUAAUGUCACAUUCUUGUUUGCACGUAACCUUGUAGUCACGUCAGCUAAUCAAAAUGCAAAAAGCAAGUGGCCCUUCACAGACUUCAGUUAGGAAACAGUGGCACGGGUUUUCAUAAAACAAAAGUGUUUGACUGAUACUGUGUAAAAUCUGUUCUGCAGGAAAACCGGCAUCUUGCCCAUCAUCUUCUACAAAGUUCAGUAUUUUUGUCAGUGCCCAUCUCCUUGACUUCUUAAUUGUCUGUGUUCACUGACUGUAUCAAAUGGAGUUUUCCUUUGCCUUUGCUCACUAUGUAUUACAUCUUUUAAUCGGUAUAUAUAAUUACUUACCACAAUCUGCCAUGCCAGAUUUUCUAAGCAUUAGUCUAAUUAACUUAAGCUUGAUAAUUAUGUUUCAGAUAUCAUAACAGUACACACAGAACUUGCAGAUUAUGCUGUUAGCUUAGCUGUUUCUGAUAAUGAUUUUCUCCUAUUCUUAUUUUCACUUUUCUUUUUGUACAGGGUGGGAGCACAGGGGGGAAUAGAAGCUGCUACUCUGUCUAAGCAACUGGAGGCUUCCAUAAAAGCAAAAUCAGGCUGUUCAUAAUAACAAAUCAUCAAAUAAGGCAACACAAAUGAGAACAGAUCCAAAAGGAGAGGAUUUCAUCUACUUAUAAAAGCAGAACGUCAGUGAAAGAAGAAACCUGAGCUUCCAACAGCACAAAUCAUAGAGGAUUCAGACACAGUCUUGCAGCACUUAUGGCCUAUUACAGAAGUACUCAGACUUUCCACAGGUCUCCAGCCCAAGCUAUUCUAAUUAUACGCCUGUUGGCGACAGCAUGCCACCAGGGAGGCAAUAAAUAAGUGAUAACAUGCAUGGGACCUGGCACACAUACCUAGCCAGCACAGAAAGAUCAUCCCUCACAAAGUGAUGUGGGCCAUCUGGGCAUAUGAAAUAUGCAAGCCUGAGACCCCGAGUAAAAGUAAAUAGAUGCAGAGAACACUUAUGUCACAGUAAUAAAGGAAAACAAAAGAAAUCAGUAAGAGGUUAUGGAUUUUUAUUUGGCUUUUUGGUGCUAUACUUUUCUUCUCACUUCUGUCCAAUUUGCUUUUUUUUCUUUUUUCUUUUUUUCUACCUUUUGAGCCCAUCUGUUUGAACUGCUUGAGUGCAGCGGUUGAAAGAAGCUGCCAUGCCUAUUCACAGAACUACACUGAGAACGUUGCAUUUAUUCUGAAGUUACUGGCAAGGAUUUCAUCAGCUACAAAACACUGAACCACUCCUAUUUUUAAUGCAGACUUAAUAGACAUGGAGAGGACAGAAACAUGCAGUUCCUCUGCCAAAGGUUCCUCAUUCCAGCCCUUAUUUUCAGGUGCCUGAAGGGCUGUUACCCUUGACAGAAAAAUUACCAGCAGUCAAGGAAGUAAUCAGAGUAGCCAGUCCAUAAAUAAGCAUAGCAUAAAUCUGAAUAUUAGUAAUUAGCAUUUGAUUCAAUCAGACCAGAAGUGUUAGACCACUGUAGCAGCAAUUCCUUAUAGGAAACUAUUUAACGUUCCAAUUAUCUUUAAUGAAUUAACCUCAAAGUAUGGCUGAGGUGCAACAUCCUAAGAAUCCCUUUACUCAUCUGCAGUCCACUUGCAACUAAUUUCCCUUCACAACCCUACCUCAAUUAACAUUUUUCUGUAUUUCAUACAUGAGUAACUGCAGUACUGAAAUACGCAAUCCUUUCCCAAAUUUAAUAGCUGAGAUACCUUAAUUUUGAUUCUGCAAAUGAAGGAAAAUCAUUUUCUGCUACUAUCUCAAACCAAUUAAUUUUUUUUUUUUUUUAAACUGACUUUGCACCUGCUAUGUAUGUCUGAACCAAAAAGGUCCUACAUUUUUCACAUCAUAAUUACUUGGGAAUGAUCUGUUAGGCAACACUCCGAACACAAGAAAAGGUCUUAAAAAUCAGCAGAUUUUUAAAGUUUACUUUAUUUUCCAUCAUUAAAAUUUUUAAAGAAUGUUUUAUAGUAAGAAAGAAAAACUCAACUGGCAUCAUUUUAAACUGUCUGAAUUUUAAACUCUUGAGAAACGUAAUAAUCCAGGAAGGAAAGAAGAAACAAGAAUACGGUCUUACCAGCCAAUGUACAACAGCAGUGACAUAAUUAAAUAAAAUCACUUUAAAAGAGAGAUCACUUGCAUAACAUAAGGUGCAUUAUGUAGCAUGGGUAGAAUGACGGACAGCUAACUGCAUGAGCUCAGAGUUCUCAAGUGCCCUAAAACUGGCAAAUGUGUGCUCAGUCUUAACCUGUCUAUGCAGCAGGGCAACAGCUGGACCUCAUGAUCCUUCCCCAUCCUUGCUGUGUGGUGAGGAAGCUCUUGCUUUGUGCCAUGGCUGUGGCAAAAGGAGCAGCAUUCUCUAACAGAUUACAAAUCUGACAUUAUUUUCCUUUUCACUGUAUGUUUGCAGCAUUAUUUUAGCAUUAAGAAAAAUGAACACAUAUGCAGAUAACAGCAUCCACAGAGCAAUAUGGCAUAGCUGUUGUGCUUCUUACAAGCAUCCAAUUUAACUUCAUCAUCAAAUACCACACAGUGUUUCGGUCUUUACUGAUUUUAACCUCUGUUUACAGCUAGGUGUUGCGUGCUGUGCACAUCGUCUAGUGCUCACUAUGGAGGAGAGCAUUAACAGUAGAAAGACACACAGUGACACAGUACAUGAGUUCUUUUUUCAGGACUGUUGGAUUUUGUUCCCUAUCUGACACAGCCACAUGAUGCCACAGAGCUUCACUGCCACUUCUCUGAGCCACUAACGUCAUGGUGAAGUGACACAGACAGGGACACAGACAUAACAGUGCUUGUCCACACAGCUACAUAAACACACUUUCUUUUGUAUAUUAAUUUCUAUAACAAAUAGAGAUAUGCUUGGCCUGUUUGCUUACAUGAACAAAUCUGUGCCCUAAAAGAUGAUAUUCUCAUUAAAUGGAGUUGCAUGCCCAAAUCUUAUAAGUGCUGUUUACUUUGCUGGCAGCACAGCCAGCAUGCUACAGAGCAUAAAUCUUUCGCUAUUGCCACUCACACUGAGAGCACCCCAUAGUGAAUUCGGAACGCUUAAAAAAAUUAAAUAAUCCAAUCAGAGCAGAAUAUAUAUUAGUAAUCGAUAACUGCUUAAUUUAGCUAACAUUGCGAACACUUUCUCUCCAACCCUUUAACUGCUUGCAGAGAAUACCAGAUAUCAUAACAUUUUACCCUCAAUUUAGAGCUUAGUUUUUUA
Molecule: long non-coding RNA, 9609 nt
Organism: Lagopus muta (rock ptarmigan)
Lineage: Eukaryota; Metazoa; Chordata; Aves; Galliformes; Phasianidae
Exons: 13
Source: RefSeq, a predicted model, not a curated record